Molecule: ribosomal RNA, 423 nt
Filed under: uncultured bacterium
Lineage: Bacteria
Description: bacterial SSU rRNA
Rfam family: Bacterial small subunit ribosomal RNA
Source: RNAcentral
GGAAUUUUGCGCAAUGGGCGAAAGCCUGACGCAGCAACGCCGCGUGGAGGAUGAAGGUCCUUGGAUUGUAAACUCCUGUCAGCAGGGAAGAAAUCUGCCGGGUUAAUACCCCGGUAGUUUGACUGUACCUGCAGAGGAAGCCCCUGCUAACUCUGUGCCAGCAGCCGCGGUAAUACAGAGGGGGCAAGCGUUAUUCGGAAUUAUUGGGCGUAAAGGGCGCGUAGGCGGCCUGGCAAGUGGAAGGUGAAAUCCCGCGGCUCAACCGAGGAACUGCCUCCCAAACUGCCUGGCUUGAGUCCGGGAGAGGUGAGUGGAAUUCCCAGUGUAGCGGUGAAAUGCGUAGAUAUUGGGAGGAACACCAGUGGCGAAGGCGGCUCACUGGACCGGAACUGACGCUGAGGCGCGAAAGCGUGGGGAGCAAAC